Cavia porcellus (domestic guinea pig) is the source of this 12774-nucleotide long non-coding RNA. RefSeq lists it as uncharacterized. The record is from RefSeq and is a predicted model, not a curated record. The transcript is spliced from 2 exons. NCBI's taxonomy places the organism in Eukaryota, Metazoa, Chordata, Mammalia, Rodentia, Caviidae.
GGUGGUAGAAGGUGCUUGUGUGCAGCAAAGCACGGAAUACAGUAGCUUUCUGGACAGAUUGUGAUCGCAGGAUAGUUUUGUUUUGUUUUGUUUGUAGCGGAGAUUGAGCUCGCAACCUCGUGCUUGCCAGGAGGGUGCUCAGGCCACUGACUUAAAUCCCCAGCGCCCACAAGAUAGGCUUUAACUUUUGUCAGUGUGGCUGUCUUUUUGCAGCUAAAGUAUAAGUGGUCCUGCUUGAAGUGUCUUUGUUCUCAUGCAAAGUGUCUUGACUACAUGUUUUUAUAUCCUCAUUAUUCAUACCCUGUAUGGAAAGCCUUUGUCUCAAAUACCAAUUUAGGAUUAUGUAAAAUUAAUAGAGUUUGAAAACGUAAAUCUGUAAGUUAAUCAUUUAAAUAUAACUGCAUUUCUAUUGUCUGGUUUUGAAGGCCCAUAAUGCCUUCAUUCUUUUGAUUGGUUUUAUACUAUUUUGUUUGAAUUUAUUGUAUUUAAUUGUUUUAUACAAGACCUAUUCUCAUGCCUGCUUAAAGUUAACUCACUAGAGAGUUAAUUUCCAAAUUGCAAUUAUAUGUACUUAUGUAUUUAUUUAUGUAUAGUAUGGCAACUAUUUCGAAGAAAACAAGAGAUAUUAUGGUAGCCACUGUUGAUUUCCUGUUGUCUUGUUUUGAAGUCUUGUAUUGCUUGCAUUGUUCUAUUCUGAUCUGCUUUGUGAAAGGAUUUUGGCCCAGACUGUAGCUGGUAAAGUCUUGGAGGUGGAAUCAAGGGGCUCUAUCUUGAGGUCACCUUCCCCGCCCCUAGGCAAUUUACCUGUAGGGGGGUGGAUGAAUGCCAGUGGGCUACCUGCACAUCACUAAUGCCCCCUAGGCACCGCCCCAAACCUAAGCUACAUGUAUGCCCCACGCCACGUGUCUGGCAGAGAGAAAGCCAGCCCCCGGAGACAAUGCCAGACCCCAGAGGGUCAGGGGGUCUCUCCCCGCAUUCUUAAAAUAAAGGUCACUUAUAUUUCAUACUUCGUAUCUUUUCAGCCACGCCAAAAUUCUAUCAUUUUGUUCUGUUCUGUUUUGUUUUAUUCUCUUUAAAAUAAAUAAAUAAAUACAUAAAUAAAUAUAACUACAAAUUGAAAAUUAACUCUCUAGUGAGUUAACUUUAAGCAGGCAUGAGAAUAGGACCUGCAUAAAACAAUUGGUUGUUUUAGGCUGAGUAUUACUUAUCUAAAAUACUUGAAAUAAGACGGUGGUGAAUUUUGGACUUUUUUUGGUUUUAAAAUAUUUGCAUAUCUAUCAUGAGAUCUCUUAAGAAUUGGACCCAGAUCUAACCACAAAUUUCCUUUGUUUUGUAUAUGUUUUUACAGAGAGACUAAAGUAAUCUCAACAGUAUCUAUAGCGUUUUAACUGCAGUGUAUCACAUAAGGUUCAAUGAACUUCUGUUGAACAAUGCCUGUUUCUAAGCAGUAUGUGAAAGAAGAAAAUAAGAUGAAGUCCCUGCUCUGAAAGGCUGUGGUCAGUGCUAACGUGGAGGGCCACCACAUCGCCCUCCCCAGACCCCAGCGUGAUUGCCUUGUGCGCCAUGCGUGCUAUCCAGAGAUGACCUCUCUAAACUGGCUUUCGGUUUGAAUAGUGAGGCAGUGUACGCGUCUUCACGGGAGCAAGCGGGUGUUGUGUUGCUCCUCGACGGUGGUGAGAGUUCAGUACAGUGGAGCUGGCUGUGAGAGUGUGGACUGAGACGUGAGAUAACGUCCCUGCUGAGCCUGGUGUGACUCCAGAAGACAUUCCUUCGCAGAGCUGACUACAGAACAGGCUACUCUGCUAACCACAGCCUGAACCUGGCUGUCCGGGUCCCCGCACAGGAACGCUUUGUUCCCUCUUGUACAAGCCUGCAUGUGCAUUUUUCAGCCGCAGUCCCCUCACCUAACUCCCUGGCUUACGUGGGAGUCAGGUUCUGGCUGCCUCUUGGUCUGUGUUUCCCACAGACUCUGGCCUCCCAGAUCCCUCAGCACUGCUGUCCAUCUCUUGCACUUUCUUUGUGGCACGAGCCCUAAUACCUUGCAGACUCACUGCAGGAGUCCCCAGUAGAUAAAUUCUUUUUAUUCUGAAGUUAAUUUUGUUGGUACAUUUGGGAUGCACAUAGUGACAGCAUUCACCAUGUAGAAUUUGAUUCUCUUUCCCCUUUCCUCCCCUCACUGUGACCGUUCAUCUUCUCCUUAUUACAAAAGCAUUCUUUCCAUUUUUCCCUUCUAUUUGCUUCUUUCCUUCUCCGCCUCUAGGUCCUUUUCUCAUUUGAAAAUUUUCUUAUUAUUUCACAAUAUCUAUUAUUUAUUUUGGUCCUUAUUUACAUUUUUGGUUUCUUAUCAAAGAAAUCAUGCACUAUUUGAGUAUGUUGUUUGCCUUAUUUCACUUCAGACUAUGGUCUCAAGGUAAAUCCACUUACCUAGAAAGGUCUCAAUGUAUCCUUCUUUAUGGCAAAGUAGUACUCCAUCAUAUAAACAGCCCACAUCUUCUUUACCCGUUCAUCAGUUGAUACAUAUCUGGGCUAUUUCCAAGAUUUAGUUAUAAACUGUGCUGCUGUAAACAUGGGUGUGCAUAUAUCACUGUGUUAUGAUGCUAUUAAGUCUUAGAGGGAAAAUUCCAAGAAGAGGAAUACCUGGGUCAAAUGAAAUCACAACCUUUAAUUUUUUGAGGAAUCUCCACAUUAAUAUCCACAGUGUUUUUACCAGUCUGCACGCCUACCAUUAAUAGGAAAGGGUUCGUUUUCUCCAUAGCCCUGCCAGCGUUUGGUAGUGGUUGAUUUCUUGACAAUAUGGUCUCUCAGCAUUGUUUUUAUUUACAUUUCUCAAAUGAUGAGGGGUAUUGAAAUUUUUUUCAUAUAUUUUCCAUUUCUACUUUUUUUUGUCUGAGAAGCAUCUAUUCAUUUCAGAUGCCUGUUUUUAGAUGAACUCUUCAAAUUGGGAGGGGACUGGUUUUUUAAAGUUCUUUUUAAUGAUCUAUUACUACUUUAUUUUUUUAAAACAAAACAAAAAGAUAAAAAUGAUGCAGAAUUUCAAAAAAAGUGGGAAAUUAACACUAGUUAACAAUUGCAUAUCAUUAUCUUAGAGGUAGUUUAGGUUACAGGGUUCAGGCAUAAAAAAUGAUCAUUGAAAGUACAAACUGUUCUUUUUGAUGAACCACAGAGAUUAGUAGUAGAGUUUUCUACCUUGUAUAUGUAUAUAUACACACACACACAUAUUAUACACAUACCCUUAUACAUAUAAUUUUCCCUUUCUCCUUUCCCCUAUCCCAGUUGUUUUUUCCUUUUGAACACUCUCUUUCUCUUUUAUUUUCACAGUACCUAUUGUGCAUUUAGGAUCUUAUUACUCUUUCAGAUUUUUUGUUUUUUUAAAAGUUCUUUAUAUAUUCUAGAUAUUAGUUCUUUGUCUGAGAAACAGCUGACAAAAAAUGUUCUCCCCUCUGCAUUAUCUCUUCAUUGUGUUGGCUUCUUUGGUUGCACAAAGCUUUUUAAUAGGGUGAGAUCCAGCUGAUUCUUUGUGCUGCUUCCUGAGUGAUCAGGGCUUUACCUCCACCUGUGUCUGCAAGAGGUCUACUUAUUCUGUCUUCCAGCGGAUUUAGUGUUUCUAUUUUAAUAUUUGGAUCUUUGAUCCAUUUCAAUAUUAGUUUGGUACAUGGUGAGAGAAAUAAGUCUUUGGCAUGUGGAAAGCCAGUUUUUCCAGCAACAUUUCAUAAAGAGGCUAUCUUGCUUCCUGUGAAGAUAUUUGAUCCAUUCAUCAAAGAUUAGAUGGCUGUGUUUGAAGUUGUUUCUGCAUCUCCUAGUCAGUUCCAUUGAUCCCUGGAACUUUUCCCCUCCAGUAGCAUGCUUGUUUUUCCUCUGUGAUUUUGUGGUAUAAUUUCUAGCCAGGGACUGUGGUGCCCCCUAACUUGCCUUUGUUGCCCAGAAUUGCUUUUGCUAUUCUCUUCUGGUUCAAAAUUAACCUUACAAUUUUUUUCUGUAAUUCGGUGAGGUAUGCUACUGUUAUUUUAAUUGGAAUUCCAUUAAAUCUAUAUGACAUUUUUGGAAAUGUGGCCAGUUUCAUGAUUUUGGUUCUUCCUGACCAAGGACAAGGGGUAUCAUUCCAUUUUCUGAUAUCCUCUUUGAUCUUCUUUUCAGAGUACUGUAGCUUUCAAUGUAAAGGUCUUUUACUUCCUUUAUUAGAGUAAUUCCUAAGUGUUUCAUUUUUUGGAUGCUACUGUGAAAGGUGGUACUCUCAUUUCUCAGUGAGUUUGUUAUUUGUGUAUGUGAAUGCUAUUGAUUUUUGAGUGUUGACUUUGUACCCAGCUAUGCUACUAAAUUUGGUGAUUAAAUCGAGAAACUUUGGGUUUUGGGGGUCUAUUCUAUUUGGAGUAUUGCAUCAUCUGUAAAUAUUGAUAAUUUAAUUUCUUCCUUUGCUAUGCUUAUUGUUUUCAUUGCUUUCUCUUGUCUAAUUGUUCUAGCUACUGUUUCCAGAACUAUGUUGAAUAUGAGUGGUGAUAAUGGACAUCCUUGUCUUGUUCCUGAUUUUAGAGUAAAAGCUUUUAGUUUUUGUCUACUUAGUAUGAUGUUGGCUGUUGGUUUGUCAUAGAUGGCUUUUAUCAGAUUGAGAUAAAGACUGUCCAUUCCAAUUUUCUGUAGGGCUUUUAUUAUGAUGGGGUGUUGGAUUUUGUCAAAUGGUUUUUCUUCCUUGGCUCUGUCAAUAUGGUGCAUUACAUUUAUUGAUUUGCAUAUGUUGAACCAUUCCUGUAUCCCUGGGAUGAAUCCUACUUGGUCAUCAUAUAUAAUUUUCUAAUGAUUUGUUGCAUCCUAUUUGCCAGUAUCUUACUGAGGAUUUUUGCAUCUAUGUUAAUUAAGCAGAUUGGCCUGUAUCUCUCUUUUUUAGUUGGAUCCUUUUCUGGUUUUGUUCACUUCCAGGAAUGAAUUUGAGAGUAUUGCUUUCCUUUAAAUUUCAUUAAAGAGUUUGAGAAAUAGUGGCGUUAGAUCUUGUCUAAAUUUCAUGUAAAAUUCAGCUAGGACCCGAGCUAUUCUUUGUUGGUAGGUUUUUAACUAACUUAUUUAAAAAUUUUUUAAAAUUAUUUUAAAGGUAGUAAAAUACAACAGAACAAGACAGAACAAAACCAAUUUAGACAGUGUAGUGAAACUGGUACAGAGCUUCACAGCAGGUUACCAGGACAGUAAUAGGUACCACAGGAGAUCUCGUUAUCAUCACAAUAGUUGUUCUUUCAGUCAGAUAUAGCAAAAUAAAAUGAAAUACAGAACAUUAUAGAAAUUAUCAAAACAGAAUAUUGAAUAAAGAAAUACCAUUAAUCAGAAUAAAGCAAAACAGUGGUAAAAAUAUUUGCCUUCAAAUAGAUGGUAGAAGGAAAUUCCCCUUAUUUGCUAUAUUGCGUAUGGUCAGCCUCCCUAGAGAUGCUCAGAUCUCUGGCUCCCAUUUGCUAAAGGCGGGGGAUGUUUGAUUUUCAGCCUGUGUGCCGGUUGGCUCACUAAGCAAGAAGGUGAGCUGGUUGCUUGGUUUCCCAGUACCCUAAGAUCCAACAUGGCAUGGAUCUCAGGAGACGCUGGUGGUUCUCCCCUUGGGUCGACCACAGCUUGCUGAGCCACAACUGCUUACCAGGGGAGCAAGCUAGUUGCUUGGUUUCCCAGUACCCUAAGUUCCAACAUGAUACAGAUUUCAGGAGUCGCUGGUGGUUCUCCCUUUGGGGCAGCUGCAGCUUGCAGAGCCACAGCCACUUACUGAUUGUUGACUGGGUCAUUUAGAAUCUUUAUAUCUUCUUGACUCAGCUUUGGUAAUUCUUACAUAUCUAGGAAUUUGUGCAUUUCUUCUGUGUUUUCCAUCUUAUUAGAAUACAGGUUCUUGAGGUAGGUAUUAAUGGUCAUCUGAAUUUCUGCAGGGUUCAUUGUAAUUACACCCUUUUCAUUCCUAAUCACAUGAAUUUGAGUCUUUUCUUUCCUUUUUUGAUGAGAUUAGCUAAGGGUUUGUCAGUUUUAUUUUAUCUUUAUUUUUAUUUAUUUUGCUGUUAGUUUCCUUUCUUUCCCCUAUUUUAACUGCUUGCCUUGUCUGGUAGAUUCAUUCUCUUGGGAUUCAUUAGAUUGUAGUCUUUGUUAUCUCUUUCUACAAUUGCCUUCAAAACAUUUUGUGGCUGGCUUGGUGGUCAUGAAUUUCCUCAGGUGGUUUUUGUCAUGGAAGUAUCUUAUUUCUCCAUCAAUUCUGAAAAAACAAUUUCGUAGGGUACGUUAAUCUCAGUUGGAGGUUGUUUUCUUUUAGGACUUGAAAUAGUUCACUCCAGCCUCUCCUUAAGGGUUUGUGUUGAGAAGUCUGCUUUAAUUCUGAUGGGCUUUCCUUUGUAAGUGAUUUGUUUCUUUUUCUCUAACAGAUUUGAGAUGAAUAUUCUGUUCUCAUGUUGAAUUUCUGGAAUCCUAUUAUAAGCCAUGGGGUAAAUUUCUUUUUUAUGAUGGGUAAUUGGAGUUCUAUGUGCCUCACUUAUCUGUGUGUCAACUCUUUUUCCGUGCCAGGCAAGUUUUCUGCUAUGACAUUUGUGUACAGAUUUUUUUUUAAAUGUCACUUGCAGUAUCUCCCGCUUUUUUCACUGACUCUGAUCAAUCUUAUGUUAUUAUUCUUUGCAUCAUCUAGCAGCUGUUGGAUUGAUUUUUUUCUUGUAUUCCCUUGCUAUUUUUAAGAAAUCUUUUCACUAACACUAAGUGCAAUCCUGUCUUCUAAGUCUAACAUUCUAUCCUCACAAUGGAUCAUUCUGCUGUGUAGACUUUUAAUAGAAUUUUUAAUCUACUGAUUUAAUCUGUUUCAUAGAUUCCAUUUCUUUCCUGUGUUGGACAUUAAUGCUUUCCAUCAUUUUUCUAAGCUCCUCUUUUUUUAAAGGUGUAUCUUCUCUUGAUUCACUAAUCAUGUCCUUCAUUAUGUCACCAUCUCUGUAGUUAUCUGAGAGAUUAUUUAUGAUUUGAUUUCUUCUUAACAAAGUUAUUUUUAAGUUCAAAAUGCAAUUGUUCUUUCUGUACAUGGAUUAUUGUCAUUCUUGUGAUCACAUCCACAGAUGGUAAUCUUAUGACUGAAACUCAAGUUCAUAUUCCUAGAGGUGGAAUGGAAGUGCAGUAUUUGAUUAUACAAGGAACUCCACUUAUUUUCAAAAUAUACAAAAAGUUGGUAGAUUGGUGUUAUGGUUUCCCUCAACAGUGUCCCCCAAAAAGUCUCAUGUGUUCAGAGAUGGAGCUUGUGGAACGUAAUUGAAUCAUGAGGGCUCUAACUUCAUCAGUGGAUUAAUCCAUUGGUGAGUUCACAAAUUGAUGCAUUAUUUGGAGGUAAGAGGAGGCCUCCUUGAAGAAGGUUCAUGAGGGUGUAACCUGGGGACUUUCUAGACUCUGUAUGUCUUAGUUAUUUUUCUUUCAUUGCUGAAACAAAAUAUGCAAUGCCCAAAAUUAAUGAAGAAAAAGGUUUAUUUAGCUCACAGUUUGUGGAAGUUUCAGUCCAUAACCAGCUGGCUCCAAGAAAGGGUAGCAUGGCAGAGGCAUGACAGUUCAUGGUGACAGAAGACAGCAAGACCAGCAAGAGCAAAAAGGGGAAGAGAGAGACCAAGCCUCUUUCCCUCCCUUAUAAUGUAUGCAGGCUACCUGCCCCAUGGCAGGUGUAGUACUCACACUCAUAAUUCCAAGCAUUGGACCAUGAAUCUAUCACAAACUCUAGAAACCCACUGCCACAACUGCACAAGGCUUGGGGAACAUAUAGAUACAACUCAUAACAUUCUGCAUCAAACUCCCCAAAGACCUAUGCACAUCCCUUUAUGCAAAAGGCAUUUAGUCCAUCUCUAAGAGUUGCCAAAGUCCUAACAGUUUCAGCAUUGUGGAAAAGUCCAAGUCCCAGGUCUCUGAUUGUAAGGCACUCUUAGCUGUUAGCUCCUGUACAAAUGAAAAGAAAGCUAAACACUUCCAACAUUUAAUGGUACAAGAUUGACAUUUCCUUUCCAACAGUUACAAACAGGAGAAUACAAAGGAUUGGGACCAAAGCAAAUCCAAAGUCCGGCAGGGCAAACAUUAAGUUCUGUUUCCAUGUGAAACAUAUGAAGCAAUCUGUGGCAAGUUGUGAGCUCCAAAGGGUUUGUGUGGUUGUGUCCCUGUGGCACUUUCAGUGGCUAUAGCUCUCACAGUUCUCUCUUAUGCCUGCUUAGCUCUCUCCUUGAAGGUUUUCUCAGAUGGUCAACAUGCCUGGCUUCUCCAGACUUCCAGGAUCUCCACUGCACCUUCAGCUUCACAUUCACAGCUUCACACAACGUCUGAUCUCCUAGGCCUUCUGAAAUCAGGGCGGAAGCCUUCUUAACCCCACAACUCUUGCAUUUUUCAUGUGCCAUAUGGAUGCUGCCAAAGUCUACAACCAGUUGGAGCAGUCAGUAACUAGGCUUUCCUCUCUCUUGGCUGUAGGGGUUGAGUGCCUGGAUUGAUGAGCACUCUACAUGCAAUUCUGAGGAACAAAUUCUCUAUGAUACUACCAUUUUUGAACCUGGAAUGGAUGCCACUGCUGUUCUGGAAAAUGAUGCUCUGUGGCUUUCUCCUCAAAGCAAAGCCUUUGACUUUUGCAAUUUUGAGUCUGCAAAGGGUGGAUUACUACUGCUUCUUGUGAUGCCCUCAGGCCAUCUUUUCUAUUCUCAUGUUCCUUCUUAUCAAUCAAGAUUUCUUCUGCUCUACCUUUGCAGUUCACAGCUUUACUGGCGCUUCCUUUCUGACCAAACUCAUGUUUUAAAUCACCCUGAUGGGUUUUUUUGCUCUUGAUUCUCAACAUAAAUCUGGCUAAAAUCCCCCCAAAAUAGCUAUGCCACCACCUCAACAUUUGACUGCCUUGAAAUUUUUUCUAUUAGUUUAAUUAGUCCAUCAUACUUAAUCUGAGGCUCAGGCAAAGUCUUUGGACAUGAGAAAAAUGCAUAUAAACAUUUUGCCAAACCAUAACACAUGUCAUCUGGAGUCCAACAGUCAAUGCAGUCCUUCCCAACAGAAACCUACCACGCCUGGUCUUUACUGGCAGGAUUUCUGUCAACCUUUUGGUCUUUUUAGUUCCGAUCAGAAUCUUCCAUACAGAACAGCCUAAGAUGUUCCAAGCUACUCUUUCAGGCAACAUCUCUGAACCUUUCCAAACUCUUCCCAUAAGUCAUUCCCAGCGGUUCUUGAGCCACAUGGUCAGGUAUAGUCACAGCAACAACUUCACUUCUCGGUACCAAAUUCUGCAUUGGGUUACUUUUCUUUCAUUGCUGAGACAAAAUACAUGACACCCAAAUUAAAGGGAAAAGUUUAUUUAGCUUAUGGUUUGUGGAGGUUUCAGUUCAAAAUCUGUUGAUACCAAGGCAGGGUGGCAUGAUAGAAGAGUGACAGAUCAUGGUGGUGAAAGGCAGCAAAAGCAACAAGAGCAGAAAGGGAAGGAAAAAGAGACCGAGCUUCUUUUCCUUCCUUAUGUUAUAGGCAGGCUACCUGCCCCAGGGCAGGUGUACCCAUACUCCCAGCAACGGACCAUGAAUCGAUCACAAACUGUAGAAACCCAUCCCAUGACUACAUGAGGCUUUGGGAGACUUCUAAACACAAACCAUAAAUUUGCUUCUUUAUCCCUCUCUCCCUCCUCUCAGGCUGCUACAGUGAACAGUUUUCCUGUGCCACACCCUUCCAUGAUGUGUUUGCCUCACCUCAGGCCUAAAAACAGUAGAGUCAGUUGACUAUGGGCUAAAACCCUGAACCAAAACAAACUUUCUUCCUUAAAGGUGACUGAUGUUAGUAUUUUGUCACAGUGAUGAAAGCUGGCAAUUGAAAAUGUAAAAAUAUUAACUAGCCCUCCAACACAAAUAGUUUGAAAAGUGCUGGCCUAGAAUAUUGCCCGCUACAUAAUAAGUAUUCAUUAUUACUUGAUGGGUGAAUGAAUGAGGUUAUUGCUUAGUCAAAAUAUUUUCUUAUACUAGUUUUUAUGUAUUAUGCAAAACAGUACAGUAUUUGUUACCUGUAGUAAGUUGAAUAGCCAUUGGGUUAGGGGGCUUUCACUUACCUUGAAAGUGCUUUUUGUAAAACUAAGUUUACAAAUGUUUUCAUUGUUACUAAUAGAAAUCAUUUUUUAUUCUCUCUAAAGCCUAUCAUCACCAUCUAUAUGAAUUAUGGAAAAAGAAACUAGAAGACACUGGUUAGGAAUAUAUAACACAAGAAGAGAAUGUUGCCACUAAUGAAAAUCUGGUUUGAAUAAAAUUCAAUUUGUUACUGGCUAACAUUUCUACACAUCAUUAUGUCCACAUUAUAUCACAACAAUGGCAUGAGACCUUGAGAAUCUAGAAGGGUCUUCUGAACUAUCAAGCACUGGUUACAUUGUUUGUUACAGUUUUAAUCAAGUAUAUUUUACAAUAUUUUAACUUUAAAAAUUAAUUUUUCAAUAUGGCCAUAUGGUAUCUGUCAGUCGGAAAUAUUAUUAACCAGAUCUUUCUAUAUAUCCCAGUAAAAGCUAAGUACUAUAGAUGACCACAUAUAGGAUGAGAUUUCCUCCAGAAUUAUCCAUCAGAAAAGAUUUGGUUUAUAUUUGAGUUCUGACAAAGUCAUAUUACAGAGCUGUCUUUCAGUUACAUGUCUUUGACAGCAAAGCACACCCUUGAGAAAAGAACAUGAAGAUUAUCCUAACCAGUGUUAGCUUCAGAUGCUUGUAAAAGUCACCAGAAAAUUGCUAGAAAAAGCAAGGAAAUUUCAUGAGUUUAAUGUAUUCUUCAUACUCACUAGUGGAGCUAUUGGUAUAAACGAGCUUUAAAAAUCUACUGUAUAAGAUUACGUUUUAGUAAAGAACAAACAUUUAUCAGGAACAUUAGAUGUAGUACUGUGUCACUGGAUAAUUUCUAUAGGCAUCUGUUAUGGAAUGAAAUUGUGUCCCCUCCCUCCACCCCAAGAUUUAUAUGUUCAAGAUCUAAUGCUCAGCGUGACCAUGUUUGGAAAAGGGCCUUUAAAGAAGUAAUAAUUAGAAAAACAUCAAGCUUCUUUCAAACUAAAUGGAAAACAAGUAACUAAGGACUAAAGAAGUCCUACAUCCCUCUGAAAAUGGCACAGGGAAGUGCAGCCCCUUUUCCUUGUCAACAAAGAGUGAUCCCCCAAAAAUGAAAGACUCACUUAACUAUGUAAACGUACCCUGAGACCUCAAGCAACACCACUGCCAUCUUGGUGCUUUCCCACCUUUAUGCUUGAAGGUGUAGUCUCUCACUCUGAAAACUCUAUCAUAAUUACCUACAAUCUUAAAGUAAUUAAGGUUAAAUGACGUUAUUGAGGUAGGCCCUAGAGGAAAGAGGAAACCUUAUAUAGUGCAGAGGAACAAAGCAAGAGGAUAGCUAUUUGUGAGCCAGGAAGAGAGACUGGAGUAACCAAUCUGCCAGCCCUUGACCUUGAACUUCAGCCUCCAGAAGUGUGGAAAAAUAAAGUUCUGUUGUUUAAGCCAAGUGUUCUGCAGUAUUUUGCUGUGGCUUUGUGUUAUCAGUUUUAGCAGACUGAUAAAGCAUGAUAUAUGCUGGUUCAAAUGGUAGAGUACCCCAAACAAAGUAGGUGAAAGUCAGAUGGUGUGUUAUAGAAACCUCCAUGACUCAGUGGCCUUUGUGAUAAGCAAAAUUACAGUGGCAAAGAUGUCUCUGAAGAGUUUGGUUGCAUUUGUUUCAUAGAAUAAAGAUAGAAAAAAUAAUGUUUUGAAAAUAUUUUUAAAUAUCAAAUGGUAACAUUUAAUGAUUUCAUCCAUAUCCCUUUAAAUUUACAACUUGAAUUUGACUAAAAAACUCUUGAUGGAGCUUUCUUGGAGAAAUCCUUAUCAUUUGGAUUUACUCAAAGAGGUUUUUGAAAAAAUUAGAAUAAAAUAUAGCCAUGCAGAAAAAAAUGGCAUGAUAUUAUUUAGCAUUGAUCAAAUUAACUUUAAAAUAAAAAUGUUCUUGUAUGUAUAAUUCACUUUAUUAAAGUGAGUUUUGGGCUUGGGAUUUUGCUCAGUGGCUCAAGCACUUGCGUGAUAAGUGUGAGGUCAUGAGUUCAAUCCCUGGCACCAAAUAAGUAAGUAAAUAAAGUGAGUUUUCAUAUGAGCAAUGCUGUUUAGAUAAGUUUGAUUAGGGCUGAUCUACAGAGUUUAUAGAUACACAGCAUAAAGAGCUCUAUAAUACAUUUAAGACAAUACAUUGAAUUAGAACCCUCUUUAUAUGCAGCCUUCUGACAGCAGUUGCCACUGGGCCAUCCUUCUGCCUGGCACAGGAGCUGCUGGACUAGAUGAUAGCUGUUUGCUGGCUCAUAGGAAACCAGCAUCCGCUGAAUAUACAUGCAGACAUCCAGUGUUGUCUUCCCAUUUCUUUUGCAUUGUAAUGUUUCUUUUCUUUUUAAGAAACUACGUAUUCCUCAUGAGCUACAAACAGUCCCAAAUUAUGUAUUUUCCUGAGUGUUGUUUAUACAGAAGAAAUUAGUGUCUUCCCAUUUCUCAGGAUACCACAUGUAUUUAGAAUGAGAACCUGCAUCAAACUAGAGACGCACGGAAGAGGGAUUAUGUGAAAAGAACACAAACCCAAGUUUUCUAGUCUAAUUAUCUCUAUCACAAAGCAAAAAUGAAUGCAUAUACAUCCCUAUCUUCAAGGUUUUCCUACCAGAGAAAUUUGACCAAAUCAGAAGCUGUUGCAGCAAUCUGAAGGGGUUUUCUCAUGAAGACAUUAAGCCUGUGAACUUCAGCUUGUAAAUAAAAAUUAUAUUGAAUAUUGUACCUUUUGUUAAACAUGAGAGAUGCAUAAAAUAGGUAAUAAACUGUAAACUGAA